RNAcentral lists this ribosomal RNA (420 nucleotides) under Lutjanus madras (Indian snapper). Its description in RNAcentral is "partial 16S ribosomal RNA". It matches the Rfam family "Bacterial large subunit ribosomal RNA", at positions 1946 to 2516 of the family's 2925-position model. Lineage: Eukaryota; Metazoa; Chordata; Actinopteri; Lutjaniformes; Lutjanidae. The record is from RNAcentral.
CCGUGCGAAGGUAGCGCAAUCACUUGUCUUUUAAAUGGAGACCUGUAUGAAUGGCAUGACGAGGGCUUAGCUGUCUCCUAUUUCCAGUCAAUGAAAUUGAUCUCCCCGUGCAGAAGCGGGGAUACGUACAUAAGACGAGAAGACCCUAUGGAGCUUUAGACACCAAGGCAGACCAUGUUAAACACCCCGAAACAAAGGGUCAAACCAAAUGAUCCCUGCCCUAAUGUCUUUGGUUGGGGCGACCGCGGGGAAAUACAAAACCCCCACGUGGAACGAGAAUACUUCCUCUCACAACCAAGAGCUCCCGCUCUACUAAACAGAAAUUCUGACCAAUCAGAUCCGGCACAAGCCGAUCAACGGACCGAGUUACCCUAGGGAUAACAGCGCAAUCCCCUUUUAGAGACCAUAUCGACAAGGGGG